Molecule: ribosomal RNA, 254 nt
Filed under: uncultured bacterium
Lineage: Bacteria
Description: partial 16S ribosomal RNA
Rfam family: Bacterial small subunit ribosomal RNA
Source: RNAcentral
UACGUAGGGUGCGAGCGUUAAUCGGAAUUACUGGGCGUAAAGCGUGCGUAGGCGGUUCGCUAAGUCCUGUGUGAAAGCCCCGGGCUCAACUCGGGAAUGGCAUGGGAAACUGACGAACUGGAGUGUGGCAGAGGGGGGUGGAAUUCCGCGUGUAGCAGUGAAAUGCGUAGAGAUGCGGAGGAACACCGAUGGCGAAGGCAGCCCCCUGGGCCAACACUGACGCUGAGGGCACGAAAGCGUGGGGAGCAAACAGG